RNAcentral lists this ribosomal RNA (497 nucleotides) under uncultured bacterium. RNAcentral describes it as "partial 16S ribosomal RNA". It matches the Rfam family "Bacterial small subunit ribosomal RNA", at positions 28 to 507 of the family's 1533-position model. The record is from RNAcentral.
GAUGAACGCUGGCGGCGUGCCUAAUACAUGCAAGUCGAGCGAACGGACGAGAAGCUUGCUUCUCUGAUGUUAGCGGCGGACGGGUGAGUACCACGUGGAUAACCUACCUAUAAGACUGGGAUAACUUCGGGAAACCGGAGCUAAUACCGGAUAAUAUUUUGAACCGCAUGGUUCAAAAGUGAAAGACGGUCUUGCUGUCACUUAUAGAUGGAUCCGCGCUGCAUUAGCUAGUUGGUAAGGUAACGGCUUACCAAGGCAACGAUGCAUAGCCGACCUGAGAGGGUGAUUGGCCAACCGGGAACUGAAACACGGUCCAGACCCCUACGGGAGGCAGCAGUUGGGAAUUUUCCGGAAUGGGCCAAAAGCUGAAGGAGCAAAGCCGGGUUAGUUAUGAAGGUCUUCGGAUCGUAAAACUCUGUUAUUAGGGAAAAAAAUAUGUGUAAGUAACUGUGCACAUCUUGACGGUACCUAAUCAGAAAGCCACGGCUAACUACGUG